UACGGAGGGAGCUAGCGUUGUUCGGAAUUACUGGGCGUAAAGCGCGCGUAGGCGGCUUUGUAAGUCAGUGGUGAAAGCCCGGAGCUCAACUCCGGAACUGCCAUUGAAACUGUGAAACUUGAGGAUGAGAGAGGUGAGUGGAAUUCCCAGUGUAGAGGUGAAAUUCGUAGAUAUUGGGAAGAACACCGGUGGCGAAGGCGGCUCACUGGCUCAUUUCUGACGCUCAGGCGCGACAGCGUGGGGAUCAAACAGG
RNAcentral lists this ribosomal RNA (253 nucleotides) under uncultured bacterium. Its description in RNAcentral is "partial 16S ribosomal RNA". It matches the Rfam family "Bacterial small subunit ribosomal RNA", at positions 524 to 776 of the family's 1533-position model. The record is from RNAcentral.